GACGAACGCUGGCGGCAUGCCUAAUACAUGCAAGUCGAGCGAACAGAUGAAGUGCUUGCACUUCUGACGUUAGCGGCGAACGGGUGAGUAACACGUAAGGAAUCUACCUAUAAGCGGGGGAUAACAUUCGGAAACGGGUGCUAAUACCGCAUAAUAUCUUCUUCCGCAUGGAAGAAGAUUGAAAGACGGCUCUGCUGUCACUUAUAGAUGACCUUGCGGUGCAUUAGUUAGUUGGUGGGGUAAUGGCCUACCAAGACGAUGAUGCAUAGCCGACCUGAGAGGGUGAUCGGCAACAUUGGGACUGAGAAACGGCCCAAACUCCUACGGGAGGAAGCAGUAGGGAAUCUUCCGCAAUGGGCGAAAGCCUGACGGAGCAAUGCCGCGUGAGUGAAGAAGGCCUUCGGGUCGUAAAACUCUGUUAUAAGAGAAGAACAAAUUGUAGAGUAACUGCUACAGUCUUGACGGUAUCUUAUCAGAAAGCCACGGCUAACUACGUGCCAGCCGCCGCAGUAA
RNAcentral lists this ribosomal RNA (513 nucleotides) under uncultured bacterium. Its description in RNAcentral is "partial 16S ribosomal RNA". It matches the Rfam family "Bacterial small subunit ribosomal RNA", at positions 28 to 523 of the family's 1533-position model. The record is from RNAcentral.